CAUGGGCACCAGGCUGCUCUGCUGGGCAGCGCUCUGUCUCCUGGGGGCAGAACACACGGACGCUGGAGUCUCCCAGUCCCCCAGGCACAGGGUCACAGGGACGGGACAGAAUGUCACUCUCACGUGUGACCCAGAGUCUGGUCAUACUACUCUCUAUUGGUACCGACAGAGCCAAGGGCAAGGCCCACAGUUGAUGAUGUACUUCCAAGGCCCAGUGGAGGCAGGAGUCACACAGACGCCAAGACACCUGAUCAAAGCAAGAGGGCAGCAAGUGUCGUUGAGAUGUAUCCCUCACUCUGGACACUCCAGUGUGUCCUGGUACCAACAGGCCCCGGGUCAGGGCCUCCAGUUACUCUUCACGAUUUAUGAGUAUGUGCAGAACGCAAAAGGAAACUUCCCUGACAGAUUCUCAGCACUCCAGUUCCAGAACUACGACUCCGAGCUGAAUGUGAGCGCCUUGGACCUGGGGGACUCAGCUGUGUACCUCUGUGCCAGCAGCUUGGCACAGCCCCGCGGAGUCCCCAGCGCUCUGUGCACAAACCACCUGCCUGAGCUCUGA
Molecule: non-coding RNA, 559 nt
Organism: Lepus europaeus (European hare)
Lineage: Eukaryota; Metazoa; Chordata; Mammalia; Lagomorpha; Leporidae
Source: the annotation of a RefSeq genome assembly